Molecule: ribosomal RNA, 430 nt
Filed under: uncultured bacterium
Lineage: Bacteria
Description: partial 16S ribosomal RNA
Rfam family: Bacterial small subunit ribosomal RNA
Source: RNAcentral
AACGAACGCUGGCGGCAGGCCUAACACAUGCAAGUCGAACGCCCCGCAAGGGGAGUGGCAGACGGGUGAGUAACACGUGGGAACCUUCCCUAUAGUACGGAAUAGCCCAGGGAAACUUGGAGUAAUACCGUAUACGCCCGAAAGGGGAAAGAAUUUCGCUAUAGGAUGGGCCCGCGUAGGAUUAGCUAGUUGGUGAGGUAAUGGCUCACCAAGGCGACGAUCCUUAGCUGGUUUGAGAGAACGACCAGCCACACUGGGACUGAGACACGGCCCAGACUCCUACGGGAGGCAGCAGUGGGGAAUAUUGGACAAUGGGCGCAAGCCUGAUCCAGCCAUGCCGCGUGAGUGAUGAAGGCCUUAGGGUUAUAAAGCUCUUUUGGCGGGGACGAUAAUGACGGUACCCGCAGAAUAAGUCCCGGCUAACUUCGUG